CGCUGGCGGCGUGCCUAAUACAUGCAAGUCGAACGGUCUUUCUAUGGAAGCUUGCUUCCACUGAGAAGAUAGUGGCGAACGGGUGAGUAACACGUGGGUAACCUGCCCAUAAGAGGGGGGAUAACAUCCGGAAACGGGUGCUAAUACCGCAUAGUUUUCUUGAUCGCAUGAUCGGGAAAGGAAAGACGGCCUUUGUGCUGUCGCUUAUGGAUGGACCCGCGGCGUAUUAGUUAGUUGGUGAGGUAACGGCUCACCAAGACGAUGAUACGUAGCCGACCUGAGAGGGUGAUCGGCCACAUUGGGACUGAGACACGGCCCAAACUCCUACGGGAGGCAGCAGUAGGGAAUCUUCCGCAAUGGACGAAAGUCUGACGGAGCAACGCCGCGUGAGUGAAGGUAAAGGGUUUUCGGAUACGUAAAACUCUGUUGUCAGAGAAGAACAAGUUGGAGAGUAACUGCUCCAGCCUUGACGGUAUCUGACCAGAAAGCCACGGCUAACUACGUGCCAGCAGCGGC
Molecule: ribosomal RNA, 516 nt
Filed under: uncultured bacterium
Lineage: Bacteria
Description: bacterial SSU rRNA
Rfam family: Bacterial small subunit ribosomal RNA
Source: RNAcentral